AACGAACGCUGGCGGCAUGCCUAACACAUGCAAGUCGAACGAGAUCUUCGGGUCUAGUGGCGCACGGGUGCGUAACGCGUGGGAAUUUGCCCUUUGGUUCGGAAUACCAGUUGGAAACGACUGCUAAUACCGGAUGAUGACGAAAUUCCAAAGAUUUAUCGCCAGAGGAGGAGCCCGCGUAGGAUUAGCUAGUUGGUGUGGUAAAGGCGCACCAAGGCGACGCUCCUUAGCUGGUCUGAUAGGAUGAUCAGCCACACUGGGACUGAGACACGGCCCAGACUCCUACGGGAGGCAGCAGUGGGGAAUAUUGGACAAUGGGCGAAAGCCUGAUCCAGCAAUGCCGCGUGAGUGAUGAAGGCCUUAGGGUUGUAAAGCUCUUUUACCCGGGAUGAUAAUGACAGUACCGGGAGAAUAAGCUCCGGCUAACUCCGUGCCAGCAGCCGCAGUAA
This 449-nucleotide ribosomal RNA is filed under the name uncultured bacterium. RNAcentral describes it as "partial 16S ribosomal RNA". It matches the Rfam family "Bacterial small subunit ribosomal RNA", at positions 29 to 523 of the family's 1533-position model. The record is from RNAcentral.